GGUGAAAUGGCCGAGCGGUCUAAGGCGCUGUGUUCAGGUUACAUCCCAACCAAGGACGAUAUCUUCGCAGUCUAGUAAUAGGCUUGGGUUCGAAUCCCAAUUUCAUCA
This is a non-coding RNA of Thelonectria olida, 108 nucleotides long. The record is from the annotation of a GenBank genome assembly. NCBI's taxonomy places the organism in Eukaryota, Fungi, Ascomycota, Sordariomycetes, Hypocreales, Nectriaceae.